GGAAAUAAAUUUAUGACAUUCACUCACUCCACUGAUCACCAGGGUUGAUUCAGCUGAUCUGGCUGGCCAGGCAGGUGUCCCCUUCCUCCUUUUAUUGCUCCAUGUGCAUCGAAGCUAUGCUUUUGGUGAAAGAGGAUGACCUUCCCCAAAUAGAGGAAGACUGGUCUUUGGUCAAGGGUAUACAAGCAGCUAAACUCCCCUGAUAAGACCUCCAAACAAUCCCUCAAAAUAUGUAAGGUAAAUUGAGAAAUGGCUUAGCAGUUAAGGCCUUUGCCUGCAAAGCCAAAGGACCCAGGUUU
This 299-nucleotide small nuclear RNA is filed under the name Jaculus jaculus (lesser Egyptian jerboa). RNAcentral describes it as "7SK RNA (ENSJJAG00000003523.1)". It matches the Rfam family "7SK RNA". Rfam says of the family: 7SK was discovered as an abundant small nuclear RNA in the mid-70s but a possible function has only recently been suggested. Two independent studies have found that 7SK RNA binds the CDK9/cyclin T complex (known as elongation factor P-TEFb). The record is from RNAcentral. Lineage: Eukaryota; Metazoa; Chordata; Mammalia; Rodentia; Dipodidae.